RNA transcript from Equus quagga, 4229 nucleotides. RefSeq lists it as uncharacterized. The transcript has 2 exons. The record is from RefSeq and is a predicted model, not a curated record. NCBI's taxonomy places the organism in Eukaryota, Metazoa, Chordata, Mammalia, Perissodactyla, Equidae.
GAUGGAGGCGGCGGGUGGGCAGGCCUCGCCGCCCGGCAGGCAGCAGCAGGAGAGGGCAGGUCCACAGCAGCUGCCUUCGGUCAGCUCGUGUCCAGCGCGGAGCACAGAGGAUGGCCUCGUGGAGGCGUAGCCAGAUGAGGCCCAUCAAGUAGGAGCUGGUCUCCCACUCCAAGGCCACGCGGCAGAGGCACGUGGAGCCUCCGUGGAGAUUUCUCACACGGACUGACAGGAGAGCAGGCCCGGCCUACUAGGCCCACGAGGCAGGGCUCCUGAGAGGAAGGUAACCUGGAGGGGAAGAGGGAGGGCGUAGGGGGCGGGACUGAGGGCGGAGGGGGAGGUGAGUGCAAGGUUGCAGACCCCAGAGAGCAGCAGCGGGGACCGAGCCUCAAGCCUUCGCUGCAUGUUGACAAAGUGCUUCUGAGGCUGAGGCCACAUGGCCUCGCUGACGACAGUGCCCAUCACUCUGCUGGUUCUGGAGUCCAAGCUCUCGGCGCCGGGCCCAGGGGCCUCUGCGUUUUGGGGUUAUGCAGCAGCAGGGGAAAAGGCCCAUGGGUCACCCCCAGGAUAGGGCCCUGCCGCUCAGGAGAGCACAGCGCUGGCCUCAUGGUUAGAAGGGCUGACCCAUGUCAGGAGACAGAGGCGGGCACUGGCCAGGUCGAGGUCACAGGGGAGGAAUUCUUGGUGUCCCACAAGCAGCCAGAGGGGCCUAGGGGGCAGGUGGUCAGGACGGGGUUAGGGGGCCAAACCCGCUCCCAAAGAGGAGAGCAGGCUUCAGAGACAGGGUGCCUGUGUGCCGCGUGAGGCUACCCCCUGCCUGGUGCUGGCUCCUUGGGCCCUGGAGACCUCUAGUGGGCACAGAGCUGUCCCUGCACUCUGAGGGAGGCUGGGCUGCAGCCGAGGCAGCAGGGGUGAUGCAGUGCCCAGUGGGCCAAGGCUGCCCCGAGUUAGAGAAACCGCCCCGAAGGCUGGGCCUGAACUCGGGCUGCAGAGAUGCUGGGAUCCCUCUGAUACUCCUAAGCUGUGGUCCUAGGGAACCUAGCACAAGGCAGGCCCAGGCAGGCUGGGCCCCCUGGCGUGACUCUGGAAGAAAACCUUCAGGGCUUUCUGUUCCGCAUGCCCAAGAUCCCAGCAAAGACAAGUGGAACACACUCCAGGCCCCAGCGGGGUCCACCCUCAGAGAGCUGGCAGGGCGUGGGGUGUCUGGAGGGCACACAGGGACCAGAGACAGCCCCUUAGCGACCGUUCCCCAGCCCCCAGGUGCGUCCGCCACACCUCGCAGAGUCUCUGCGUCAAAGCCUCAUGUCCCAUCCCUGCGAGCUGCUGCGAGGCCGCCUGUGCUUCACCCCGUCUCAGUGAGGGGCCACCCCCAAGGCCUGGCCCUGUCCCCAGUGCCCCUUCCCUCAGAGCCCAGCCCCGGUCUGGGCCUGUGCACAGCACAACUGUGGUUCUGUCAAUGCAAGCUCCCUGGGCCCUCCCCAGGCCAGGCCAUGGCCUCAGUGAUGCUGCGGCCCCGGCGGAGCAGGUGGGAGGCAGUGUCUGCCGAGUGAGGGAUGGAUAGACCCUCUGUCCGGGGCGAGUGUCCCGAGUGGUGUGAGGCUCACCGACAGGAAGGCGUGGACGAUGUCUGCUUUGAUGGAGCUCAGCGGCUUGUCCUUGAUGACCACGAAGAUCUGCUCCUCCUUCUCCAGGUUGAUGAAGUUCCCAAACCAGGACUUCUUGGCGAGCCUGGGGGAGGGACGUGGGGCAGAGGGCUGGUUAUGUCAGGGUACACUGUGCCAUCAGCAGAGCGUCUGGGGACAGGCCUGCCCUUCUCUCCCUUCCAGGCCAGAGGCCAGUUCACUGCCCUAACCUGACCUUCUGCCCUGACCCAGCACUGACCCCACCAUCUGGUGAUGACACCCCCUGCCCAGGCCCUGCCCCGAAACCAAAAAGGAAGGAGUUAAAAUUUCCCUGGAUUAGGCCGAAACCAUUGACAUGGGAAACAAAGUGACCAAGUUUCUGAGCUUGUUCUGCAGAACAGCAGGGGGACGCUGACACACGGCAGCUUGUUGACCACAAUCCCGCCCCCAAGCAUCAUGCAGGGGCACCAAGAAGCCAGUGACUGAGUGUAAACGUUCAACAUCACAGACUAAAAUCCACCGCAUGCAACAUGGAAGACAGUUGCACCUGUGCAGAGGCCUCUUAGAACUUCCGCCCCAAGGCCACAUGCUCCCCCUCCCCCACUUGAAACCCCCAAUAAAAACCCCUGCUUGUAGCUUUUCGGGGAGUUCGGGAUUACAGCGUUAGCUGCCCGCUCUCCUUGCUCAGUGCUCUGCAGGAAAAUUCCUACUUUGUUCCACUGCGCCCGGCGUCAGAGAUUGGCUUGCUGUGCGACGGAAAAGCGAACCUGCUUUAGGUUCAGUAACAACCCCACCAUCCUGGCCCCACCCUGCCCCCGCCCCACCCCUGACCCCACCAUCCUUGCCCCUGACCUCACAUCCCUAAUGCUAGUCCCACAGCCCUGGGCCCCACUCCCCCGCCUGCUUGGCCCAGGCAGCACCUGCUGGAAUCCCCCAGGAAGGAGCAGAAAGCCCACCCUGCCCCCAGCCUGCUCCUCUCUGUUGAAGCCGCCAAGGUUGGGGAUAUUUGCUGUGCAGCCAUCUGCCCUUGUCCCAGGGCUGUGUGGGGAGCCGGAGAGGUCGGGGAUAGGGGGGCAGCAGGGGAACCCUGCAGGGUAUGGUGGGGGAGAUGGCACAGAGAAGGGGCAGCCUUGGCCCCCCAGUGCCACCCCCUGUACCCCAUCCUCAGGACCAGUGGCUGCCCGAGCCCAGGUCACUGGAUCGUGGACUCACGUCAGCCCCACGGGCCCAGCUGCUGUGCUAGGCAGGGUGGAGGCUGCAUCCCGGGGAGCCCAAGGCUGGCAGCACCCUCCUGCACAUGGCCUCUCGCCUCACGGGCACCCAGGGCUUCCCUUCCUUGCUCCGUCUGGUCUUGUCACUCUGUCCUGUGUCUGAGCGCCCCCUGAGGUGGAGCCCUUCCUGCUACAGCACGCAGCAGUGUGGGAGACCCCUGGGUGGCCCCGCCGCCCUGCCUCCUGGAUGCCCGUGUGGCCCCCCCUUGGGUGUGGGCAGGGCCUGUGCCUUGCUUCUAACCAGCAUGCAGGAAGGUGACAGGUCACUUCCAAGAUUGGGUUAUAAAGGCUGGGACUUCCAUCUUGCUAGCAGGUCUCCACUGAGUCUUGAAGGAGCCAGCUGACGUGAUGGUGAGGAACCGAGGCCCUCUGUCCAACAGCCAUGAGGACCUGAAUCCUGCCAACACCACCUGAGCUUGGCAGCAGAUCCUGCUCCAGUUGAGCCUUGAGGUGACCACAGCUGGCUGACACCCUAAAGCAGAGGGGCCAGUCGGGCUGCGUCCAGGCCCUGACCCACGAAGACCUCCACCAAUCAAACGCGCCCACUCAAACUGGGAGCUAGUGAUGCAGAGGCAGGGACCUGGGGGGAGGUGCUGCAGCAGCCACGUGCAGUGUCUGCAGCCAGGGCCGGCCUGGUCUCAGGCUCAUGUCUUGCUCCAGCAGCGGUGGCAGGGUGAGCUGUCGGUCUCAUGUCAGCAGAGCUCUCUGGGCUGACUCUCAGGCUGGGUUUGGUGGUUUUCAUGGCCACGCGACUUUCCUUUCUUCUGCCCAUUUCUGGAACUGGGUCUUCGGCCACCAUGGCAAUUCUGGAGCACCAGCCGCCUGCCGACCCAGCACUUCCUGCUCCCACCCGCAAGAGCCGACCUCCGUGCCCCGCCAGGACUCCCAACAGAAGGCAGAGGUCAAGAUAUGCAGAAUCUUCCUCGUGGACCCCACGCCGGUGCUCAGCCACCUCAGCAUCCUUCCCCACAUCCAGCUGCUCUCUGGCCAUCGGCUCUGUAUCCCACACUCCAGGGUAGGCUGCUACCCCAGCCUGCUCACCGCUGGACCCCAGCACCUGUCCCAGGGCCUGGAGCCCAGGAGGUGCUCAGGGAAGUGGUUCCGGAACCUGCUUCUCCCUUGAUGAAAAAGAUGGAAGAAUAACAAUGGAAUCUGACUUUUGUACUUUGGAACCCAGGGGUUGGCAUCUGACAAAAUAGUCCAUGUCUGAAAGAAGCCUGGAUGAGCUGGCAAGGCCAGCGGAGGGAGAUGGUGAUGGGCCCGUGAUGGUUAACUUGAGGGUCAGCUUGGCUUGCCUGGUCAAACAUUGGGUGUUGCUUAUUAAAAGAUAUUUUUUAGA